AGAACGAACGCUGGCGGCAUGCCUAAUACAUGCAAGUCGAACGAACUCUUCGGAGUUAGUGGCGCACGGGUGCGUAACGCGUGGGAAUCUGCCCCUUGGUUCGGAAUAACAGUUGGAAACGACUGCUAAUACCGGAUGAUGACGAAAGUCCAAAGAUUUAUCGCCAAGGGAUGAGCCCGCGUAGGAUUAGCUAGUUGGUGAGGUAAAGGCUCACCAAGGCAACGAUCCUUAGCUGGUCUGAGAGGAUGAUCAGCCACACUGGGACUGAGACACGGCCCAGACUCCUACGGGAGGCAGCAGUAGGGAAUAUUGGACAAUGGGCGAAAGCCUGAUCCAGCAAUGCCGCGUGAGUGAUGAAGCCGUUAGGGUUGUAAAGCUCUUUACCGAGAUGAUAUGACAGUAGUCGGAAGAA
Molecule: ribosomal RNA, 412 nt
Filed under: uncultured soil bacterium
Lineage: Bacteria
Description: bacterial SSU rRNA
Rfam family: Bacterial small subunit ribosomal RNA
Source: RNAcentral